UACGUAGGUGGCGAGCGUUGUCCGGAAUUAUUGGGCGUAAAGAGCAUGUAGGCGGUUUUUUAAGUCUGGAGUGAAAAUGCGGGGCUCAACCCCGUAUGGCUCUGGAUACUGGAAGACUUGAGUGCAGGAGAGGAAAGGGGAAUUCCCAGUGUAGCGGUGAAAUGCGUAGAUAUUGGGAGGAACACCAGUGGCGAAGGCGUCUUUCUGGACUGUGUCUGACGCUGAGAUGCGAAAGCCAGGGUAGCGAACGGG
This 252-nucleotide ribosomal RNA is filed under the name Phascolarctobacterium succinatutens YIT 12067. RNAcentral's name for it is "partial 16S ribosomal RNA". It matches the Rfam family "Bacterial small subunit ribosomal RNA", at positions 524 to 776 of the family's 1533-position model. The record is from RNAcentral. Lineage: Bacteria; Bacillati; Bacillota; Negativicutes; Acidaminococcales; Acidaminococcaceae.